CAGUAGCCACGGUAAUACGGAGGGGGCUAGCGUUGUUCGGAAUUACUGGGCGUAAAGCGCACGUAGGCGGCUUUGUAAGUUAGAGGUGAAAGCCCGGAGCUCAACUCCGGAAUUGCCUUUAAGACUGCAGAGCUAGCAGGUGAGAGAGGUGAGUGGAAUUCCGAGUGUAGAGGUGAAAUUCGUAGAUAUCGGAAGGAACACCUGUGGCGAAAGCGGCUCACUGGACAUUUACUGACGCUGAUGCACGAAAGCUAGGGGAGCAAACAGGAUUAGAUACCCCCGUAGUCCCUGUCUCUUAUAC
RNAcentral lists this ribosomal RNA (301 nucleotides) under uncultured bacterium. RNAcentral describes it as "partial 16S ribosomal RNA". It matches the Rfam family "Bacterial small subunit ribosomal RNA", at positions 509 to 807 of the family's 1533-position model. The record is from RNAcentral.